AACACCUCAAAGCUUUUGAUCUUUUUCAAAAGUUUUGGACUUGAGCAAUCCCAACACCAGUCUUUUCGGAUCGGUGGCGGGUUGCUUGAAAUGCAGGUGCAGCUGGACAUUCUCCUGAGCUAAAAGCAUAUUUAUUUAGUCCCGUCAAACGGAUUAUUACUUUUGCUGCAGCUAAUAUAAAGGGAGUUUGACCGUAUUGGCUGACUGAUGCAGGAUUUCACAAAGGUCGGAAACGAUUUUUGUAAA
This 246-nucleotide unclassified non-coding RNA is filed under the name uncultured Mortierella. Its description in RNAcentral is "sequence contains ITS2". Lineage: Eukaryota; Fungi; Mortierellomycota; Mortierellomycetes; Mortierellales; Mortierellaceae. The record is from RNAcentral.